UUUUCCCAACUCCACCCAUCCC
RNAcentral lists this microRNA (22 nucleotides) under Populus trichocarpa (black cottonwood). RNAcentral describes it as "ptc-miR472b". Its record names the gene ptc-miR472b. Lineage: Eukaryota; Viridiplantae; Streptophyta; Magnoliopsida; Malpighiales; Salicaceae. The record is from miRBase by way of RNAcentral.